GACGAACGCUGGCGGCGUGCCUAAUACAUGCAAGUAGAACGCUGAAGCUUGGUGCUUGCACCGAGCGGAUGAGUUGCGAACGGGUGAGUAACGCGUAGGUAACCUGCCUGGUAGCGGGGGAUAACUAUUGGAAACGAUAGCUAAUACCGCAUAAGAGUAGAUGUUGCAUGACAUUUGCUUAAAAGGUGCAAUUGCAUCACUACCAGAUGGACCUGCGUUGUAUUAGCUAGUUGGUGAGGUAACGGCUCACCAAGGCAACGAUACAUAGCCGACCUGAGAGGGUGAUCGGCCACACUGGGACUGAGACACGGCCCAGACUCCUACGGGAGGCAGCAGUAGGGAAUCUUCGGCAAUGGACGGAAGUCUGACCGAGCAACGCCGCGUGAGGGAAGAAGGUUUUCGGAUCGUAAAGCUCGGUUGUAAGAGAAGAACGAGUGUGAGAGUGGAAAGUUCACACUGUGACGGUAUCUUACCAGAAAGGGACGGCUAACUACGUG
This 497-nucleotide ribosomal RNA is filed under the name uncultured bacterium. RNAcentral describes it as "partial 16S ribosomal RNA". It matches the Rfam family "Bacterial small subunit ribosomal RNA", at positions 28 to 507 of the family's 1533-position model. The record is from RNAcentral.